This 984-nucleotide ribosomal RNA is filed under the name Natrinema sp. XJNU-10. Its description in RNAcentral is "bacterial SSU rRNA". It matches the Rfam family "Archaeal small subunit ribosomal RNA", at positions 20 to 1009 of the family's 1478-position model. Lineage: Archaea; Methanobacteriati; Methanobacteriota; Halobacteria; Halobacteriales; Natrialbaceae. The record is from RNAcentral.
GGCGACAGUGCCUGGAGAUAGGGCGUGCUGUUGUACGAGUAGAGACUCGUAGCAGAUAGCUCAGUAACACGUGGCCAAACUACCCUAUGGAUCCAGACAACCUCGGGAAACUGAGGCUAAUCUGGAAUAGGGCUCUCAUCCUGGAGUGGAGAGAGCCUGAAAUGCUCCGGCGCCAUAGGAUGUGGCUGCGGCCGAUUAGGUAGACGGUGGGGUAACGGCCCACCGUGCCAGUAAUCGGUACGGGUUGUGAGAGCAAGAGCCCGGAGACGGUAUCUGAGACAAGAUACCGGGCCCUACGGGGCGCAGCAGGCGCGAAACCUUUACACUGCACGCCAGUGCGAUAAGGGGACUCCAAGUGCGAGGGCAUAUAGUCCUCGCUUUUUGCGACCGUAAGGUGGUCGCGGAAUAAGUGCUGGGCAAGACCGGUGCCAGCCGCCGCGGUAAUACCGGCAGCACGAGUGAUGACCGCUGUUAUUGGGCCUAAAGCGUCCGUAGCUGGCCGCGCAAGUCUAUCGGGAAAUCUCUCCGCUUAACGGAGAGGCGUCCGGUGGAAACUGUGUGGCUUGGGACCGGAAGACCAGAGGGGUACGUCUGGGGUAGGAGUGAAAUCCCGUAAUCCUGGACGGACCACCGGUGGCGAAAGCGCCUCUGGAAGACGGAUCCGACGGUGAGGGACGAAAGCUCGGGUCACGAACCGGAUUAGAUACCCGGGGUAGUCCGAGCUGUAAACGAUGUCUGCUAGGUGUGACACAGGUCUACGAGCCUGUGUUGUGCCCGUAGGAAGCCGUGAAGCAGACCGCCUGGAAGUACGUCCGCCAGGAUGAAACUUAAAGGAAUUGGCGGGGGAGCACUACAACCGGAGAGCCUGCGGUUUAAUUGGACUCAACGCCGGACUAUCUCACCACCAUCGACAUGUGCAGUGACGGUCAGUGUGAUGAGCUUACCUGAGCCAUUGAGAAGGAGGUGGCAUGGCCGCCGUCAGCU